UAGAGCGAGCUAUGCAAUGUUUGCUGGUCUCUCGUCUUUGCUGAACUUCAGUACGUUGAGAGAGGCACCACAGAGAGCUUUUCCUGGGGUUGCUGGUGAUCUGAAUCCCUUCUGCUGACUCGUGCUGCUUCAGCGGAGGCCUGGCUGUUCCUGCUAGGUCACACCUCCACUGCUGCUAUCCCGACACUACUGAACUGGACUGCUGGUCUAUCUGUGAGGUGUUUGUGAGUAGAUCAAGCUGCCAUUGCUGACCUGUGAGCUGAACAGCUGAUUUUCUGACACUUCCAGUUUGUGACCUGAAAAACCUAAGCACGUUCUUGUACUACUUUUACUCAUAAAUGGAGAAAGAGCAGUUGCAGGGCCAAGAAGAAGCCGAUGCCCGGCUUUCCUGUCCCUUUACCUCAGCUGUAAGACCAUCUACACAGCUGCCCAGACCAGGGAUGUGAAUCUAACAUUUGGUAAUAAAAAUGUAACCAUA
RNAcentral lists this long non-coding RNA (478 nucleotides) under Mus pahari (shrew mouse). Its description in RNAcentral is "lncRNA (MGP_PahariEiJ_G0004550.1)". Lineage: Eukaryota; Metazoa; Chordata; Mammalia; Rodentia; Muridae. The record is from RNAcentral.